Ipomoea triloba (trilobed morning glory) is the source of this 74-nucleotide non-coding RNA. The record is from the annotation of a RefSeq genome assembly. Lineage: Eukaryota; Viridiplantae; Streptophyta; Magnoliopsida; Solanales; Convolvulaceae.
GUCUGGGUGGUGUAGUUGGUUAUCACACUAGUCUCACACACUAGAGGUCCCCGGUUCAAACCCGGGCUUAGACA